RNAcentral lists this ribosomal RNA (192 nucleotides) under uncultured bacterium. RNAcentral's name for it is "partial 16S ribosomal RNA". It matches the Rfam family "Bacterial small subunit ribosomal RNA", at positions 1309 to 1500 of the family's 1533-position model. The record is from RNAcentral.
AACCCGCCUGUAUGAAGUUGGAAUCGCUAGUAAUCGCGGAUCAGCAUGCCGCGGUGAAUACGUUCCCGGGCCUUGUACACACCGCCCGUCACACCAUGAGAGUCGGGAACACCCGAAGUCCGUAGCCUAACCGCAAGGGGGGCGCGGCCGAAGGUGGGUUCGAUAAUUGGGGUGAAGUCGUAACAAGGUAAC